Long non-coding RNA from Quercus lobata, 763 nucleotides. RefSeq lists it as uncharacterized. NCBI's taxonomy places the organism in Eukaryota, Viridiplantae, Streptophyta, Magnoliopsida, Fagales, Fagaceae. The transcript is spliced from 4 exons. The record is from RefSeq and is a predicted model, not a curated record.
UAGUAUUAGUCUUGUAUGUACCAUUCAUUAAGCUAGCACGUGCAAAGUGUGUGUAGAUGAGUGAGUGGAAUCAGACUCCACGCUCCUUCUUCCACGUUUUCUCAGACUCACGCUUCUCUAGCUUCUGACUCACGCUUUUCUCAAGUUUGCGGUUCCAGGCUCCACGCUCGGUAUCGUCUUCUUCCAGGUUUGUCUAUCUAUCUAGCUUCUUCUCUUCCAAAUCCAACCACAAGUACACAGCUGCUAAUCAAAACCAUACCCACAAGAGAAGAGCCACAUCCAAUCCAGCUCGGCGGCGCUUCUUCUCUUCCAAUCCAACUCGGCGGCGCCACCCACAAUCUUCAGGUGACCAAAGAUUGGAUCUUGCCAUGCUCCAAGUUAAAAGUAUAUUAGAACAUCGAAGGUCUCUAAUGUGGGUUCAUCAACCCCACCCCACAUAACGGAAAUGGGUAAUAUCAUGUGUAUCACACGAGCCUUCCUGGGGCUAUUGCUCGAACCAUUCCUCUUUAGGUGCUGGGACAAGGACUCCUACUAUCAAGCCAAGCCACACCCCGUAUGAUGAACAAAGAUAAAUCUAAAAGUUCAGAGAAAACUGCUGCUAAUGAAGAAAACGAGGCGGGGGAGAAAUUUCCAAUGUCUCACUUGAGGAACAUGCUGAGCUGAGUACAGAUGAUAUUAGUGAUGAGGAAGACAGGGAUCUAGGUUUGAAUUAAGGUGUGUGAACUCCCAAUUCCCAACAACAACAUGUACUAAUGUAUGUGGU